RNAcentral lists this non-coding RNA (232 nucleotides) under Ureibacillus manganicus. Its description in RNAcentral is "Lysinibacillus manganicus T-box sequence". It matches the Rfam family "T-box leader". Rfam says of the family: Uncharged tRNA acts as the effector for transcription antitermination of genes in the T-box leader family. The record is from RNAcentral. Lineage: Bacteria; Bacillati; Bacillota; Bacilli; Caryophanales; Caryophanaceae.
UAAAAAGCGAUGAUGAAAAAAAGUAAUAUUAUGAAGUGUUUCAGAGAGCUAGCAUAAGGUGGGAGCUAGUACAUGACAUAAUAUGAAUGGGCUUUCUAGCUACUGGUACUGAAAUUAUAGUAGGUACUAGCGUAUAGUUACGUUAUAACAAGUAGAGUGGACUAAGACAGUUACGUACAGAUAAUUUUGUUUUAGUCAAUAAAGGUGGCACCACGGCUUAUCCGUCCUUUUU